UACGGGGGGGGCAAGCGUUGUUCGGAAUUACUGGGCGUAAAGGGCGCGUAGGCGGCCUACUAAGUCGGACGUGAAAUCCCUCGGCUCAACCGAGGAACUGCGUCCGAUACUGGCAGGCUGGAAUCCGGGAGAGGGAUGUGGAAUUCCAGGUGUAGCGGUGAAAUGCGUAGAUAUCUGGAGGAACACCGGUGGCGAAGGCGGCAUCCUGGACCGGCAUUGACGCUGAGGAGCGAAAGCCAGGGGAGCAAACGGG
This 253-nucleotide ribosomal RNA is filed under the name uncultured bacterium. RNAcentral describes it as "partial 16S ribosomal RNA". It matches the Rfam family "Bacterial small subunit ribosomal RNA", at positions 524 to 776 of the family's 1533-position model. The record is from RNAcentral.